UGAGCUUGAAAUUGCUUGGGUAGAUGCAGAAGUCGAAAAAGAAGAUGAGAAGCUUAUUUUGAAUCCCCCAUCGUCAACACCACCACUCCACAGGCCAAUUCUUGUGGGCGAUCUAAAAUUAGCUGAUUUUAAACAAUUCCUGGAAAAUGAAGGUUUUCAGGUUGAAUUUGCUGUUGGUGCUUUACAGUGCGGCGGAAACAUCACGUUGCGCAAGAUUGUUGGUUCUAGCCAAAAGGGCAGCACGGGGUCACAGCAUAUCGUGAUCCAGGGUGCCCUUUGCGAGGACUAUUACAAGAUCAGGAAGCUUCUUUAUUCCAAGUUCUACUUGCUGUGAAGUCAACGGGCGCUUCAUUUUCCGUAGUGCGUUGCUGCCGUACAAUGGUGCUGCACAACUGAUGAAUGUGAAUCUUCAUAGACCGACAAACUACUGCUGUGGGAACCGAGGAGCUAUUUCAGAUUUUUAGUUGGAUCAGCGCACGCAAGAAUGUGCCUGCCCAUGCCUGUACGGCUGGGCCUACCGUUAGAUUGUAGAUUUUUAGAACACCAGCUCCUGUGUAUAUGUAUAAUUGUAUAUGGUGAUAACCUGGUUAGUUGUAUAUUACCACGAACUUUCUGAUCUUGUUGUGUGACUGAUACAGGACUCACCGCACAUGGGUCUGGGCUAUGAACGUUUGCUGUUAUCAGGACAACAGAAAACCACAUCUCAAAUCAUAAAGAUCAGAAUUGGCAAUCCAUGUACUCUUCGCAAUAUCACAACCUGAUUACUUACAGCGACAUUUUUUUUAUUAACUGCCGUGAUUCACUUAAGCGAGCAACUGUAAUAAGCUCAUUGUCACCCUGACUAUCUGAAAUUGCUGUUU
Long non-coding RNA from Panicum hallii, 860 nucleotides. RefSeq lists it as uncharacterized. The transcript is spliced from 3 exons. The record is from RefSeq and is a predicted model, not a curated record. NCBI's taxonomy places the organism in Eukaryota, Viridiplantae, Streptophyta, Magnoliopsida, Poales, Poaceae.